GCUGUAGACGUUUAUAAGCACAAAAUAAAUUUUGAUGGAAAUCUGAUGCUAAGCAAAUUUCACUGAGCUAUUUGGAAUUAUGAAUGGCCUUACUUGUCUUUUAAAUGAAAUAAGUUAAGGAAAACUGCGAAAAUAUCGUCAGUAUCAUUCUACAGCUGCAAGAGACGCUCUGGACUGCCGAAUAAACAUGCUCUCUAACACGUACCUGAGUCAGUAGGAGAUUCAGCAUCUCAUGGCUCCUGCAUAUCCUGUUCAUACAGACACGAAUGGAACUUUAUUGUUGCUGUUCUCAGAGGACUGUGCACCUCCAUCACUGGUGAGGCUGUUAAACUUCUCCUACUGUCCAGGAACCACGCCCGGUUCUGAGGGAGGAGCACAGGAUGGAAUGGUUACCCGGCCAGCUGGCCCUUUUGGAGUUUGGACCUGAG
RNAcentral lists this long non-coding RNA (428 nucleotides) under Chinchilla lanigera (long-tailed chinchilla). Its description in RNAcentral is "lncRNA (ENSCLAG00000023354.1)". The record is from RNAcentral. Lineage: Eukaryota; Metazoa; Chordata; Mammalia; Rodentia; Chinchillidae.